RNAcentral lists this ribosomal RNA (351 nucleotides) under Triticum aestivum (bread wheat). RNAcentral's name for it is "partial small subunit ribosomal RNA". Lineage: Eukaryota; Viridiplantae; Streptophyta; Magnoliopsida; Poales; Poaceae. The record is from RNAcentral.
AUGGUGCGAGCGCCCUCGCCUUCUUCUCUCCUCUACGCUCUACUGCUCGCCGUGACCGCGCUGGUCGGGCAGUACCCGGCGGGCUCGCUGCGGGCGGCGACGGCGCAGACCAUGGUGCCGGUCCGCGUCGGGGUGAUCCUGGACUGGUCGACGAAGGUGUUGUCGGCGGUGUCGCUAAGGCGGCGGACCGGCAUUCAGAUGGCGGUGGAGGAUUACUACGCGGCGCACCCGGGGUCGGCCACCAGGGUGGAGCUCCACUUCGCGGACUCCAAAGGGGACGUCAUCGGCGCCACUUCCGCCGGUAAGCUCCCUCCCUCCCCCGCCGCACACACCUGUUCCACUUCCACCUAG